Molecule: ribosomal RNA, 708 nt
Filed under: uncultured Streptococcus sp.
Lineage: Bacteria; Bacillati; Bacillota; Bacilli; Lactobacillales; Streptococcaceae
Description: bacterial SSU rRNA
Rfam family: Bacterial small subunit ribosomal RNA
Source: RNAcentral
ACGCUGGCGGCGUGCCUAAUACAUGCAAGUAGAACGCUGAAGGAGGAGCUUGCUUCUCUGGAUGAGUUGCGAACGGGUGAGUAACGCGUAGGUAACCUGCCUGGUAGCGGGGGAUAACUAUUGGAAACGAUAGCUAAUACCGCAUAAUAUUGAUUAUUGCAUGAUAGUCAAUUAAAAGGUGCAAUUGCAUCACUACCAGAUGGACCUGCGUUGUAUUAGCUAGUUGGUGAGGUAACGGCUCACCAAGGCAACGAUACAUAGCCGACCUGAGAGGGUGAUCGGCCACACUGGGACUGAGACACGGCCCAGACUCCUACGGGAGGCAGCAGUAGGGAAUCUUCGGCAAUGGACGGAGGUCUGACCGAGCAACGCCGCGUGAGUGAAGAAGGUUUUCGGAUCGUAAAGCUCUGUUGUAAGAGAAGAACGAGUGUGAGAGUGGAAAGUUCACACUGUGACGGUAUCUUACCAGAAAGGGACGGCUAACUACGUGCCAGCAGCCGCGGUAAUACGUAGGUCCCGAGCGUUGUCCGGAUUUAUUGGGCGUAAAGCGAGCGCAGGCGGUUAGAUAAGUCUGAAGUUAAAGGCUGUGGCUUAACCAUAGUACGCUUUGGAAACUGUUUAACUUGAGUGCAAGAGGGGAGAGUGGAAUUCCAUGUGUAGCGGUGAAAUGCGUAGAUAUAUGGAGGAACACCGGUGGCGAAAGCGGCU